Molecule: long non-coding RNA, 657 nt
Organism: Vidua chalybeata
Lineage: Eukaryota; Metazoa; Chordata; Aves; Passeriformes; Viduidae
Exons: 3
Source: RefSeq, a predicted model, not a curated record
CCUACCUGGGCAGACCUCUGGAGGCCCUGGAAUGCCAACUUCCAUUUUGGAAAGGUGUUGAGUCUUUACUCAGCCCAUGGGAAGAACUCAGCUCUUGGACUGAACUCCUCCUACAGAACAUGUCAAAAGGAGGUCAAAUGAAUCACAUCCCACAAGUGCCUGCUUCUGCUCCUCGCCUGACAGGAGUUCUCCAGGAUUCCUGUUUCUAUUUGCUGGAUACAUUUAGGGCUUUCCCGCCACUUCCACUCAAGAGUUAAACCUUAGUAACACAGUUCACCGCUCCAGCUUUGGCAUGCAGUUGCCAUGUAGCACUCCAGACAAAAUCCGUCCUCCUCAAAACUGCUUUUGAUCCUGAACAUUUUGCUUCAACAACUGAUCAACGAACUGCACAGCUAAGAAAAACGCACCAAACACCUUCCCCUGGGGCAAAGUGGGCCCUGUUACAGCCUGUUCAGCUGUGAAUCCUGGAGAUGGUGAUUUAAGCUUAAAGCACUUGGUGAUGGUUUUAGUGGUUUGACAAAUCUCUCCCAGCAGGAAGGAAACUUUCCAUGUCUGGCUGUAGAGUGUUUCACAAAGCUGAAAGAAAAUAGCACUUAUCUAAAUUUAACUUGCCAUACUUUUAAACUGGUCUGUGUGAGGAAACGUCUUUUGCUUUCA